RNAcentral lists this ribosomal RNA (1314 nucleotides) under Triticum aestivum (bread wheat). RNAcentral describes it as "partial small subunit ribosomal RNA". The record is from RNAcentral. Lineage: Eukaryota; Viridiplantae; Streptophyta; Magnoliopsida; Poales; Poaceae.
AUGGGAGGGAAUAGAUUCUUGUUUGUUUUUGAGAGAGAGGCAAGGAGGAGGAAAGCGGUAGAGAAUGGACCUUGGACCUUUGGGAAAGAAUUACUAGUCAUGGAGGAGUUCGAUACGGCAAAGACCAUAGAUGAUUAUAAGUUUGAUAAAGUGCCAAUCUGGAUUAGGAUCUUUAACGUGCCGCUGGGUCUGAUGUGCAAAGAAUUGGCAGAAGAUAUGGGUGAGAAUAUUGGUGAUCUGAUAGAGGUGGACACAGGAGAGGAUGUGACAGCGGUUGCGCAAUGCUUGAGGGUCAAAGUGCGGAUCAUGGUGAAGGAACCUCUUAAGAGGGGAAUGUUCCUAGACGAUGAGGAGGAUGCCGAUGGGGACAUAGUGGUCAAGGCAAAGGGGGGAGAGGAGGAGGAAGAACCAAAAAUCUGGUGCCACUUUCAAUACGAGUUCCUCCCGGACUUAUGCUACACAUGCGGCAUCAUGGGGCAUAUUGACCGUGAAUGCAAGACAAAGUUGAAAAGGGGGGAGGUGGCUGAGUAUGGGAGAUGGCUACGUUACUUGCCAGAAGCAUAUCAGGGCGGUGAGGAGAGGGGGAGGCAGGCUAUGGAAUACAGUGGUGGAGCCAACAGAAGGAGGUACGGAUGGACCAAUAGCAGCGGCAGGUCAGGAAGCGAUGGUCCUUCUUGGAGGAAGAAUACAGAAGGGUCUGAGAGAGGCAGUGGGAAUGAACGCCAGAGGACUGAUGGGGAGGAGGUUACCAGCCCAUUAAAGAUCAAAAACAUGACCGGGGUAGCCCCAAGCAGGAGAACUGAUGUGGCGAAGCAGCUGGGGUUCCAGAGCGAUACAGGAAGUGGCGGACAGGUUAAAGGACCCCAAAUCAUACAAAAGGGAGCCUUAACUGUGGAGGUAGUGGAGGGGGGUCCAAAAGAAGGAGGGGGCUUGAUCAAAGGAGUGGGUCAGGUAAAAGGAGGGGAGAACGAAGUUAGUACCGAUGAAGCAAAAUCGGAGGCCGGUAAGGUGGGGGAGGGGGUACGAGGUCAAUCAGCAGAUACAAGUGGGCUGGCCGUUGUACAUAAUGCAGGUGAGAAGCAGAAUUCAAUGGGGAAAGGGGGGAGGUACAAGAAGAAAGGAAGGGAGGGAAGGGUUUUGGGGCAUGCAGAUAAUGUGCUCCUGGAGAAGAAGAGAGGUGGGGAUGACAUGGUGGUUGAGGAGCUAAACCCGGAGAGUAAGAAGAGCAAGUUAGAAGGGCACGGUGCAGAUGGUGUGGAGGUCACAAACAAUGCUAAAGUGGGGCUGUCGGAACAGCCCUGCGUGCCCCAAUGA